AUUGAACGCUGGCGGCAGGCCUAACACAUGCAAGUCGAGCGGAUGAAGGGAGCUUGCUCCUGGAUUCAGCGGCGGACGGGUGAGUAAUGCCUAGGAAUCUGCCUGGUAGUGGGGGAUAACGUCCGGAAACGGGCGCUAAUACCGCAUACGUCCUGAGGGAGAGAGUGGGGGAUCUUCGGACCUCACGCUAUCAGAUGAGCCUAGGUCGGAUUAGCUAGUUGGUGGGGUAAAGGCCUACCAAGGCGACGAUCCGUAACUGGUCUGAGAGGAUGAUCAGUCACACUGGAACUGAGACACGAUCCAGACUCCUACGGGAGGCAGCAGUGGGGAAUAUUGGACAAUGGGCGAAAGCCUGAUCCAGCCAUGCCGCGUGUGUGAAGAAGGUCUUCGGAUUGUAAAGCACUUUAAGUUGGGAGGAAGGGCAGUAAGUUAAUACCUUGCUGUUUUGACGUUACCAACAGAAUAAGCACCGGCUAACUUCGUG
RNAcentral lists this ribosomal RNA (484 nucleotides) under uncultured bacterium. Its description in RNAcentral is "partial 16S ribosomal RNA". It matches the Rfam family "Bacterial small subunit ribosomal RNA", at positions 30 to 507 of the family's 1533-position model. The record is from RNAcentral.